CAUUGACUUCUCGUGACCAUUCA
This 23-nucleotide microRNA is filed under the name Pristionchus pacificus. RNAcentral's name for it is "ppc-miR-8246-5p". Lineage: Eukaryota; Metazoa; Nematoda; Chromadorea; Rhabditida; Neodiplogasteridae. The record is from miRBase by way of RNAcentral.